Molecule: non-coding RNA, 4060 nt
Organism: Schizosaccharomyces pombe (fission yeast)
Lineage: Eukaryota; Fungi; Ascomycota; Schizosaccharomycetes; Schizosaccharomycetales; Schizosaccharomycetaceae
Source: the annotation of a GenBank genome assembly
AUCAUAUAGGGAGUGAUGCAUUUGCACAAACAUGUAGUUUUUGGCUCCUAUUUCAAAAAACUGAACAUAGUAAGGUGGAUUUUUGAAGGGGUCAAGGAAUCUUUUGGCCUCCUCAUCAUGCCGUAAAAAUCUUAAAGUAUCUUCAAUAUUUGUAAAUCUUGAAGGCAAGAUUUUUAUUUGAUUUAAGCAUGAACGAGCUUCAAACUUAUCAACAAUUUGAAUAACCAUCGGCUCACUUGAAUCUUCAGAUAUAGCGAAGUGUGUUCUUAAGAUUGCAUUUUUCUGACACAACCUUUUCCAAGAAUUCUGAAGCUUUUCCAAACUUAUUUCGGCGUCUAAACUAAAUAACACAUCAUUUUGAUAUAAAUUUUUCUGAUUCAUCGUUUCAAGAAGUAAACCACUUUGAAUCGGAGUUGCCGGAUAACAGUCUUCUGCGUCUUGAUCUGUUAAAUACUUGCUCAAUAGAGUAUUUAGUGUACCGAAUUCAUGCUUUAAAGAAGUCGAAUGGUUAGCAGAUGUCUCACAUAAUAAUUGUAAGAUUCUAUAAAAUGUAGGCUUCUCCAUUAAUAAACCAAUAUCUAGUUUGCCAAUUCCAGCUUCCGAAACUUUAGAAGCAAGCCAAAUUAAGUCAAUACUGUCAAUUCCAAACUCGUGAACAAAAGUAUCUCUUUCAAAAUCGAGUUUCGUUAUUAUAACUUUAGGAGAUAAGAUGGUGAUCAACUUUUUCAAAACAUCAUUCCAAACAUUUGGUAUAUAUUGUUUCACUUCUGGUUGAUUUGGCAUGAGAACAUUUGGUCUCGAUGAGAUUUUAGCGUUAGAAGUUUCUAGUAAAGAAGACAAAUAACAAUCGUAUGAAUCUAAUAAGCCGAUAAUUUCUGUUUGCCCAAUGUACUUGAAAUUCGAACUAAGAUGUAGGUUCAUAGUACCGUCAACAUCUUCCUCUAUUUCAAGGGCCAAAGGAUAACCUGUGUCUGUGCUUUCAGAGCUAAAAGACCAAGGGAAUUCACAUUGCUUUAUUACGGAAGGGUGAAGGUUAUAAGUGAACAAAACGUUAAACAAUUCACUACGACGUAGCCAUUUCUUUAUUUCACGAAGAGAGGUUUGAUGAUAUGGUAUCAUAGAGGCUAACGUCAGUUGACAACGCCUAACUAAACAAUCGAAGGACUCAUCCUUUUCUAAAAACAGUGGAAAUGGAAUAGUGUUGAAUAAAGGCCCCAUUACCUCUAAACAAUCCAUUGAUAUUUCAGAACGUCCAGAAACAACAAUUCCCACGCAAUUAAUAGCGCCGAUUGAAUUAAGAAAGCAUAUCCACGAGGUUAAUAAUGCGCUAUUCACAGAAGCUUUUAAUACCGACCUACAAAUUGUUGAGAGUUUGGCAGAAGAAAUUGAUAGCUUGUGACCAAGAGUAAUGGCCAUAUCAAGCUUUCCUUGGAAAAUCGGGACGUAGAUAUUCUUACUCCUAAAUAAAUUCAACCAGUAUUCUUUAGUGUCUUUUUUCAGGGAAGUAUUGAUCAACAGUUGUCUAACUAUUUUACUAUAACGAGGUCUGGGUGCAAGAGUUUUUCUUGAGCACAAUCUCGCAAGAUCAUUGAGCAAAAGAUCUAAAGACCAACCAUCGUAAAUUCCAUGGAAUAAAGUAACCGUCACCAAAAAGAAACCUUUUUCACAUUUCAAAGAAUAUCGAACUGUUUUUAUUAAAGAGUCAUUGUUCAGUACAUCUACUUCGGCUAUAAAAUCGGACUUCCAAACAACCUGAAAGUAUUCCCCAUCUGAUUUUAAAAAAGAUGACCGCAGUACCUCAUACUGUUUCCUUAAAAGCUUGAAAUUGUUAAUAAACUGAUCAGCUUGUUCGCGCUUUUCGAAAAGAAAAAAAAAAGAGUUAUAAUAAUUUUCAUUAUUACUCCUUUCAAGUUCAAACAACAAUCCCUCGACAAGUGGUAAACAAGGGUUAAUAAGUUCAAUGUACUGAUGGAAUGGAAAUUGGGAACAACUGGGUAGCUUAAUAAUUGAGUUUACCUUUAUCGAGUCUUCUAGUUCCUCGUUAGUUUGGGUAUUUAAAGCAAAUCCUAAAUUUGAAAUAGUACUGGAAGUUAAAAUCAAUGAAGGGUUAGCAUUAUCAUAUCCUGAUUUUCGCAACAGGCCUGAUAAAGCCACAGCUGAUAUGGAGUCCAGUCCUAACUCAAAAACAGACGUUUGAGGUGAGAUAUCAGUAACCUUAACAUCAGAAAAAUCAGCAAUUAUUUUCAACAAUUUAGGUUCGACAACAUUGGAUCCUUCGUUGUCGUUUUCCUCUCUAGCUGGAGCAAAAGAGGAAAGUUGCCCUAACGAUAACCGUGAAAACUCCUCAAUGACCUUCUUUUUAUCAAAUUUAUUAGUUGGUGUCAACGGAACCGAGCUAAUAAAAACAUAAAAACUUGGCACCAUAUAUUUGGCCAAACUCGCUUUACAUGCACUGUUUAUAAAUCCAAUUAAGGAAGGAUCUUUAUGGUCGUGAACAAUCAAAUGAGAAGCAGAUAUGCCCUUGACAUGGAUAAAAGCAACCAACUGCUGCUUUCGAAGUACUGGAUGAACGACAGCAAGAGUAUACACUCCAAGUAUCUUUUCGGAGGAACUUUUUAUAACAGCAUUAAUUUCUCCAAUCUCGAUGCGCUGGCCACGUAGUUUGAUUUGAUCGUCCGUCCUACCGCAGAAUUCUAAAGAGUUAUUAUCUUUUAACAACCUUCCCAAGUCCCCAGUAUGAUAAAUACGAUCAUUGAAUCUUCUAUCGAAAUAAAACUUCGCAUCAGUCUGUUCAGGCAAAUUGAGAUAACCUUUGGCAACUUGAUUACCUCCCAUACAAAUUUCCCCUAAACCUCCUAACAAUACAGGUACUUUUGUUUCUUUAGAAAGUAUGUAAGUACUACAGUUUGGAAAAGGUGGUCCAAUAUUUGAGACUUUUGCGUUUUUUGGUACUUUUCUGAACGCGCUAGCUCCGAUUGUAAGCUCUGUCGGGCCCCAAAAGUUGUACAAAACUCUAGUAUCGCCCCAAAUAUUAAGCAAUUCUUGCUUAAUUUGUUCGCCUCCUGUAAUAAAUACACGAAGAAGGGGUGCAGUUUUCGGAGUUAGGAUGGAUGCAAGUGACGGUGUUAAAUCAACAUGAGUAAUUUUGAGAGCACUAAUGGCAGUAGGAAGAUCCUGUAGAAUAAGGCUUUGUGGUGCGGCUACCAAAGUAAUCCCAGUACUCCAACUAAAAUAUUGUUCAAGAACGCUAACGUCAAAAUGAAAUGAAGCGAAAGCUAAGAAUCGAGAGUUUGUAUCCCAUUCACCUGCAAAUUGGUCUUGAAAAGCCAGCAUGCACUGAACAACAUUGUGAUGAGUCAAACAACAACCCUUGGGUUUUCCAGUACUUCCAGAAGUAUACAAAACGUAUGCUAAAUUUGAAUCUUCAAAAUCUUUAGUAUAUGGAUUUUCAAUGUUGUUGGAAUAAUUUCCAGGAUCAGAAGCAUCCAAGAUUGUUACGUUGAUAGAAGCAUUUAACAAUUUUGUGUAAAGCUCACCAGUUGACAUUACUAAUACGGCUGUCGAAUCAGUUACAAUGUAACGUAUUCUUUCAGUAGGCGCUGAUACAUCUAGAGCCAAAAAGCAACAUCCGGCUUUAAGAAUAGCCAACAUUGAUAUAAAGGCCUCGAUGCAUUUGUCAAAAUAAACAGCAAUGAUUGAGCCCACUCGAAACCCAUAGCUUUUUAAAUUGUGAGCAAGUUUAUUGGCACGUUCAUUCAAUUCCGAAUAUGUUAAACGAAUUAACUGAACCGAAUCUUGAUUAAUGUCAAGAGCAAACUCUAAAGCACAGCUAUUUGGUGAUUUCUGCGCAAAAUAUUCGACAAACUGAUGUAAAUAUUUUAUCUCAGUAGGAUAAUCUCCAACUAUAGCAGGUUUGAUAGAUAAUAAUUGCGUUGGCAGAGAAUUUUCCAAAAUUUCAAUUUGUUGUAAAGGGUUGUUAAAUAUGGUGGUUAAUAUGGCGUUAAAUUGAUCCAAAAUUAAUGAUGCGUGGGCUUGAGGAAUAUAAUUGACAGCUGAGUUA